UACGUAGGGUGCAAGCGUUAUCCGGAAUUAUUGGGCGUAAAGAGCUCGUAGGCGGUUUGUCGCGUCUGCUGGGAAAACCGGAGGCUCAACCUCCGGCCUGCAGUGGGUACGGGCAAACUAGAGUGCGGUAGGGGAGAUUGGAAUUCCUGGUGUAGCGGUGGAAUGCGCAGAUAUCAGGAGGAACACCGAUGGCGAAGGCAGAUCUCUGGGCCGUAACUGACGCUCAUGCACGAAAGCGUGGGGAGCAAACAGG
This 253-nucleotide ribosomal RNA is filed under the name uncultured bacterium. RNAcentral describes it as "partial 16S ribosomal RNA". It matches the Rfam family "Bacterial small subunit ribosomal RNA", at positions 524 to 776 of the family's 1533-position model. The record is from RNAcentral.